ACGCUGGCGGCAUGCCUUACACAUGCAAGUCGAACGGUAACAGGUCUUCGGAUGCUGACGAGUGGCGAACGGGUGAGUAAUACAUCGGAACGUGCCCAGUAAUGGGGGAUAGCUCGGCGAAAGCCGGAUUAAUACCGCAUACGCCCUGAGGGGGAAAGUGGGGGACCGCAAGGCCUCACGUUAUUGGAGCGGCCGAUGGCUGAUUAGCUAGUUGGUAGGGUAAAGGCCUACCAAGGCGACGAUCAGUAGCUGGUCUGAGAGGACGAUCAGCCACACUGGGACUGAGACACGGCCCAGACUCCUACGGGAGGCAGCAGUGGGGAAUUUUGGACAAUGGGGGAAACCCUGAUCCAGCAAUGCCGCGUGUGCGAAGAAGGCCUUCGGGUUGUAAAGCACUUUUGUCAGGGAAGAAAUCCUUUGGGCUAAUACCCUAGGGGGAUGACGGUACCUGAAGAAUAAGCACCGGCUAACUACGUGCCAGCAGCCGCGGUAAUACGUAGGGUGCAAGCGUUAAUCGGAAUUACUGGGCGUAAAGCGUGCGCAGGCGGUUGUGUAAGACAGGUGUGAAAUCCCCGGGCUUAACCUGGGAAUUGCAUUUGUGACUGCACGACUAGAGUGUGUCAGAGGGGGGUGGAAUUCCACGUGUAGCAGUGAAAUGCGUAGAUAUGUGGAGGAACACCAAUGGCGAAGGCAGCCCCCUGGGAUAACACUGACGCUCAUGCACGAAAGCGUGGGGAGCAAACAGGAUUA
This 750-nucleotide ribosomal RNA is filed under the name uncultured bacterium. RNAcentral's name for it is "bacterial SSU rRNA". It matches the Rfam family "Bacterial small subunit ribosomal RNA", at positions 33 to 780 of the family's 1533-position model. The record is from RNAcentral.